GAGAAAGUAAGCAAGGGCAGACGGUGGAUGCCUUGGCUCUCGGAGGCGACGAAGGACGUGAUAAGCUGCGAAAAGCUCGGGGGAGGCGCAAAUAGCCGUUGAUCCCGGGAUAUCCGAAUGGGGCAACCCGGCAGGCUGAAGGCCUGUCAUCCCGUAAGGGAGGCGAACGUGGGGAACUGAAACAUCUAAGUACCCAUAGGAGGAGAAAAUAAACAAUGAUUCCGUAAGUAGUGGCGAGCGAACACGGAAGAGCCCAAACCCAUGUCGUCUAGGCGACACGGGGGUUGUAGGACCACGACGUGGCAAGAAGGAAGGGAAAUGGAACGACUUGGAAAAGUCGGCCAUAGACGGUGAAAGCCCGGUACAUGACUCCCUUACGAAGCCUAGUGGUAUCCUGAGUAGCGCGGGGCACGAGAAAUCUUGCGUGAAACAGCGGGGCCCAUCCCGUAAGGCUAAAUA
Molecule: ribosomal RNA, 459 nt
Filed under: Paraclostridium sordellii
Lineage: Bacteria; Bacillati; Bacillota; Clostridia; Peptostreptococcales; Peptostreptococcaceae
Description: partial 23S ribosomal RNA
Rfam family: Bacterial large subunit ribosomal RNA
Source: RNAcentral